RNAcentral lists this long non-coding RNA (347 nucleotides) under Elaeis guineensis (African oil palm). Its description in RNAcentral is "long non-coding RNA (EGUI_LNC075729)". Lineage: Eukaryota; Viridiplantae; Streptophyta; Magnoliopsida; Arecales; Arecaceae. The record is from RNAcentral.
GCUGGCUUUCACUCGAACCUUUUCCACUCAGAAGAGUGUGAUGUAGCUGACUGGAUGUUGGGCAUGGGUUGCAUUUGAUGCCCAGAGAGUUAUGGCUUUAUGCUAGUUCUCCACCCCAGGGCAAUGAGUCCGCCUCCUAAGGUCCUCUCCUCUGACCGCUUCGAUGCGCUUGUUCUAGGGUAUGCUGUGGCUGGCUUCUUGUGGAAGCCUUCGCUGCCUGGGUCAGCCAUAUACCCUUCCCCACUCCCCGCUCGGCUAGUUGAUAGGAACCCUGACUACCGAAGAAGCAUUGGAUGAAGGACCCUUAUCCACAUUGCAGUAUAGCAUCAAUGAAGAGGAAAUGACAC